GAUGAACGCUGGCGGCGUGCCUAAUACAUGCAAGUCGAGCGAACGGACGAGAAGCUUGCUUUUCUGAUGUUAGCGGCGGACGGGUGAGUAACACGUGGAUAACCUACCUAUAAGACUGGGAUAACUUCGGGAAACCUGAGCUAAUACCGGAUAAUAUUUUGAACCGCAUGGUUCAAAAGUGAAAGACGGUUUUGCUGUCACUUAUAGAUGGAUUCGCGCUGCAUUAGCUAGUUGGUAAGGUAACGGCUUACCAAGGCAACGAUGCAUAGCUGACCUGAGAGGAUGAUCAGCCACACUGGAACUGAGACACGGUCAAGACUCCUACGGGAGGCAGCAGUGGGGAAUCUUCCGCAAUGGGCGAAAGCCUGACGGAGCAACGCCGCGUGAGUGAUGAAGGUAUUCGGAUCGUAAAGAUCUGUUAUUAGGGAAGAACAGAAGUGGAAGUAACUGUGAACAUCUUGACGGUACCUAAUCAGAAAGCCAAGGCUAACUCCGUG
RNAcentral lists this ribosomal RNA (497 nucleotides) under uncultured bacterium. RNAcentral's name for it is "partial 16S ribosomal RNA". It matches the Rfam family "Bacterial small subunit ribosomal RNA", at positions 28 to 507 of the family's 1533-position model. The record is from RNAcentral.